RNAcentral lists this long non-coding RNA (986 nucleotides) under Malus domestica (apple). RNAcentral describes it as "long non-coding RNA (MDOM_LNC000360)". The record is from RNAcentral. Lineage: Eukaryota; Viridiplantae; Streptophyta; Magnoliopsida; Rosales; Rosaceae.
AGAUGUUUCGAGAGCCAGUCUUGGAAAUGAAGAAGAGCUCAUUGCCUCAAACACUGCUAAAGUGGGUGCUGUUCACAAUGAACCCCAUUACCAUCAGACCCCCCACUCUCCAACUGUAUGCUUCCUUUCCCUUUCCCCUUCUUCAAUUUUAUUUUAUUUAUUUUUGUAUGGUAUUUAAACAUGCAUUUUUUCUUUUUCUUUUCUUUUUUUUUGUCAAACGAUAGAUUUUAUUAGCUUAGAUGUUAAAUUAGCCACCAAUGGGUUCAAACCAACGCCAUCAUACAAGCCUCAACUCUUUUCAACUACUGCAUAUAUGUUAGGAAUAUAUUCCAUUCUGAGAGAGUUGAAAAAGCACUAUCUCGUUAAAAGGUUCUAUACAUUCACCAUUUCUCAAGACAUUUUUUUAGACAAAGAUCUCGUUUUUUCCUCUUUUUGGAUGGUAAAUAUUUCUCAAAACAUGGAUUGUGAAUCAAACGCAUGUUUGAAUUGAAAUUAAUACUGAUGCAAGUUCUUUCCUUCUGAAUCAGACAAAUUCAUAUUUAAAAGAGGUUGACAAUAAGUUUUUUUCAAAAUUGACUAUACGUGGUAAAUGGCCACUUGCAUUAACCAUGCAAUUAUUGAAUAUACAAAUAGCAGGAGGAGGAGUUGGUGUCGUUACGAAUUAUGAGCAGUAUAAAGUUAUGAUAGAGGCAUGCAUAUGCUAUUUCUGCAUACUGAAAGGAUGUGUGGGGAUUGGGGAGUGGACUACCCUUUUAUUAAACCAGUUGAGUCGGCAAUGUAGGUGAGUCGGUAGCAACUGUCUAAUAUAGUAUUGACUUUUCAUUUACAACUUUUCUUCAAUAGUGUACAUAGUAACGACUGGCACGAGAAAUGAAUGAUUAAGAUUGAUUCAUCUGAAGAAUUUUUGGUUUUGUAGUUAUUAUAUUUAAAGAAGAAAAUCACCAGAUUUGGUUAAGGAGGAGAAAUUUUUCAAUUUGACCGGUACA